GUUACUGGAUGUGUAAUUAUGGUGGGUUUCAAAGCCGUGGCUUCAUUGCAGCUUUCUUUUUGAGUUCUUUAAGUGCAUGUUUUGCUUUAAGUAGAUCAAGGUUAGAUAAUAAACAUCAAUAAGUUAAAUGCUGUAACUCUCACAUUGUGGCACAGGUAAGUUGCAGAGGCUUAUUUCUGUGUAUUCUCUUCCAGAUGUGCUGUGUAUAUUGCUCAAUUUCUAACUCCUUCCCUUGAUCACUGAUCAUAUUUAGAUCCUGAUCUGAUGAUUUGUUUACUUCGCAGCUUCUUGUUGAAUAAUGGAUAUAACCAAUUUGAAUCGGGGGCAACUCACACUAAUGGGAUCUGCAUUCUGUACGAUGCUUGCAAUGCUUUUUACCCUGCAGCUCUUAUCUCAGCAUGUAUUUUACUGGAAAAACCCAAAGCAGCAGAAGGCCAUAAUAAUUAUUAUCCUUAUGGCUCCAAUAUAUGCCAUUGACUCAUUUGUGGGUUUGCUGGAUGUUAAGGGGAGCGAGGCAUUCUUCAUGUUCUUAGACUCCGUUAAGGAGUGUUACGAGGCUUUGGUGAUUGCCAAGUUCCUGGCUUUGAUGUAUAGUUACCUGAAUAUAUCUAUUAGUAGAAAUAUUGUGCCAGACGAGAUAAAAGGAAGGGAAAUUCACCAUUCUUUCCCAAUGACACUUUUCCAGCCUCACACUGUCCGGUUGGACCACCGUACAUUGAGGCUCCUCAAAUACUGGACGUGGCAAUUUGUUAUCGUUCGUCCAAUAUGCUCAGUUUUGAUGAUAACACUACAAAUUCUUGGGAUAUAUCCUUCUUGGUUAAGUUGGACGUUCACCAUCAUCCUCAACAUUUCAGUUUCCUUGGCGCUGUAUUCUCUGGUGGUGUUCUACCAUGUGUUUGCAAAGGAGUUGAAACCUCACAAUCCACUUGCCAAGUUCUUGUGCAUCAAGGGAAUUGUCUUCUUUUGCUUUUGGCAGGGAGUGGUGCUUGACAUACUAGUUGCCUUGGGUGUAAUUCAAUCUCAUCAUUUCUGGUUGGAUGUGGAGCACAUUGAGGAAGCUAUUCAGAAUGUUUUAGUGUGUUUGGAGAUGGUUGUUUUCUCUGUUCUCCAACAGUAUGCAUACCAUGUCUCGCCUUAUAGUGGAGAAGUGGAAACAAAGAUGAAACUGAAGAAGAAAGAAUGAUAUGUGCAUAUGGAACAUCCAAUGGAUUCCUUGCUUCUAUCGAAAAAAGAAAGGGACAAAUGUAACCGAAAAUUUUUGUUAGACGCCCACGUCAAGUUACACUUCAAGCUAGCAGAAAAUGGCCAGCUGCAAAGUGCACUAGGUGAAUUAUGAUUAUGGUUUCAUCUGCACCAUUACAUCUUUUAUUUUAAAGAAUCUGUAGCUACCAAUUCAUCACAUGGUAUACAACUCAGGUUUUUUUAGUCUAAACAUUUGUUUGAAAUGUAGGGUCAGAUUCUGUUCUUGCCUUAAGGAUGUGUGCAUUACAUGAGGAUUAUGAUUGAUAUCUAAUGGCCAUUUGCAAAUUGGUGGAAGUGAUGACGACUUCAAUGGCAACCAAUAAUAUAUAAUGGACAAUGGGUUCAAAACAAAAUGGACUCUCUGCUACAUA
RNA transcript from Manihot esculenta (cassava), 1613 nucleotides. It is a transcript of the gene named transmembrane protein 184 homolog DDB_G0279555, with no coding region annotated. The record is from RefSeq and is a predicted model, not a curated record. The transcript has 5 exons. Lineage: Eukaryota; Viridiplantae; Streptophyta; Magnoliopsida; Malpighiales; Euphorbiaceae.